Molecule: ribosomal RNA, 425 nt
Filed under: uncultured bacterium
Lineage: Bacteria
Description: partial 16S ribosomal RNA
Rfam family: Bacterial small subunit ribosomal RNA
Source: RNAcentral
GUGGGGAAUAUUGGACAAUGGGCGCAAGCCUGAUCCAGCCAUGCCGCGUGAGUGAUGAAGGCCUUAGGGUUGUAAAGCUCUUUCAGUGGGGACGAUAAUGACGGUACCCACAGAAGAAGCCCCGGCUAACUUCGUGCCAGCAGCCGCGGUAAUACGAAGGGGGCUAGCGUUGUUCGGAUUUACUGGGCGUAAAGCGCUCGUAGGCGGAUCGUUAAGUCGGGGGUGAAAUCCUGGAGCUCAACUCCAGAACUGCCUUCGAUACUGGCGAUCUUGAGUCCGGAAGAUGUGAGUGGAACUCCUAGUGUAGAGGUGGAAUUCGUAGAUAUUAGGAAGAACACCAGUGGCGAAGGCGGCUCACUGGUCCGGUACUGACGCUGAGGUGCGAAAGCGUGGGGAGCAAACAGGAUUAGAAACCCUGGUAGUCC